AACGAACGCUGGCGGCAGGCCUAACACAUGCAAGUCGAACGCCUCAGCAAUGAGGAGUGGCAGACGGGUGAGUAACACGUGGGAACGUACCCUUCGGUUCGGAAUAACUCAGGGAAACUUGAGCUAAUACCGGAUACGUCCGAGAGGAGAAAGAUUUAUCGCCGAAGGAUCGGCCCGCGUCUGAUUAGCUUGUUGGUGAGGUAACGGCUCACCAAGGCGACGAUCAGUAGCUGGUCUGAGAGGAUGAUCAGCCACAUUGGGACUGAGACACGGCCCAAACUCCUACGGGAGGCAGCAGUGGGGAAUAUUGGACAAUGGGCGCAAGCCUGAUCCAGCCAUGCCGCGUGAGUGAUGAAGGCCUUAGGGUUGUAAAGCUCUUUUACCUGGGAAGAUAAUGACGGUACCAGGAGAAUAAGCCCCGGCUAACUUCGUG
RNAcentral lists this ribosomal RNA (433 nucleotides) under uncultured bacterium. RNAcentral's name for it is "bacterial SSU rRNA". It matches the Rfam family "Bacterial small subunit ribosomal RNA", at positions 29 to 507 of the family's 1533-position model. The record is from RNAcentral.